GUGUCAGCAGCCGCGGUAAUACGUAGGUGGCAAGCGUUAUCCGGAAUUAUUGGGCGUAAAGGGAGCGUAGGCGGCUUGAUAAGUCUGAGGUGAAAGUUCGGGGCUCAACUCCGGAUUGCCUUAGAAACUGUCAGGCUAGAGUGCAGGAGAGGGCAAUGGAAUUCCAUGUGUAGCGGUAAAAUGCGUAGAUAUAUGGAGGAACACCAGUGGCGAAGGCGGUUGCCUGGCCUGUAACUGACGCUGAGGCUCGAAAGCGUGGGGAGCAAAUAGGAUUAGAUACCCUCGUAGUCC
This 291-nucleotide ribosomal RNA is filed under the name uncultured bacterium. Its description in RNAcentral is "partial 16S ribosomal RNA". It matches the Rfam family "Bacterial small subunit ribosomal RNA", at positions 505 to 796 of the family's 1533-position model. The record is from RNAcentral.